GGCGAGCGCACGGAACGAAUAUCUGUGUACGUAGCAACAGGUUUUAGAAGAAGUUUCUCUUAACGGUAUCAUUUAUUGAAAUCACUGGAUCAUGACGGCAGCAGUGAAAUGGGCGGUAUCACACAGAACUAUCUGGAGGCAUUUAUUUCCAAUCCAAAAUGGAGCCAUAUCUAGUGCUUGUCACAAAUCUACGUAUUCUUCCCUUCCAGACGACUACAAUUGCAAGGUAGAGCUGGCUUUGACAUCUGACGGCAGGACAAUAGUGUGCUACCACCCUUCCGUGGAUGUCCCCUACGAACACACCAAACCUAUCCCUCAUCCAGAUCUUCUGCAUAAUAACGAGGAAACACACGAGCAGAUACUGAGAACCAAGUUAGAAGGAAAUCACAAGCAUCUUGAGCAAGGGCCCAUGAUAGAACAACUCAGCAAAGUGUUCUUCACCACGAAGCAUCGCUGGUACCCACACGGACAGUAUCACAGAUGCCGU
RNAcentral lists this long non-coding RNA (487 nucleotides) under Rattus norvegicus (Norway rat). RNAcentral describes it as "long non-coding RNA NONRATT008264". The record is from RNAcentral. Lineage: Eukaryota; Metazoa; Chordata; Mammalia; Rodentia; Muridae.